ACGGUUAAGUUAGAAAGGGCGCACGGUGGAUGCCUUGGCACUAGGAGCCGAUGAAGGACGGGACGAACACCGAUAUGCUUCGGGGAGCUGUAAGCAAGCUUUGAUCCGGAGAUUUCCGAAUGGGGAAACCCACCACUCGUAAUGGAGUGGUAUCCAUAUCUGAAUACAUAGGAUAUGAGAAGGCAGACCCGGGGAACUGAAACAUCUAAGUACCCGGAGGAAGAGAAAGCAAAUGCGAUUCCCUGAGUAGCGGCGAGCGAAACGGGACCAGCCCAAACCAAGAGGCUUGCCUCUUGGGGUUGUAGGACACUCUGUACGGAGUUACAAAGGAACGAGGUAGAUGAAGAGGUCUGGAAAGGCCCGCCAUAGGAGGUAACAGCCCUGUAGUCAAAACUUCGUUCUCUCCUGAGUGGAUCCUGAGUACGGCGGAACACGUGAAAUUCCGUCGGAAUCCGGGAGGACCAUCUCCCAAGGCUAAAUACUCCCUAGUGACCGAUAGUGAACCAGUACCGUGAGGGAAAGGUGAAAAGCACCCCGGAAGGGGAGUGAAAGAGAUCCUGAAACCGUGUGCCUACAAGUAGUCAGAGCCCGUUAACGGGUGAUGGCGUGCCUUUUGUAGAAUGAACCGGCGAGUUACGAUCCCGUGCAAGGUUAAGCAGAAGAUGCGGAGCCGCAGCGAAAGCGAGUCUGAAUAGGGCGAAUUGAGUACGUGGUCGUAGACCCGAAACCAGGUGAUCUACCCAUGUCCAGGGUGAAGUUCAGGUAACACUGAAUGGAGGCCCGAACCCACGCACGUUGAAAAGUGCGGGGAUGAGGUGUGGGUAGGGGUGAAAUGCCAAUCGAACCUGGAGAUAGCUGGUUCUCUCCGAAAUAGCUUUAGGGCUAGCCUCAAGGUAAGAGUCUCGGAGGUAGAGCACUGAUUGGACUAGGGGCCCCUACCGGGUUACCGAAUUCAGUCAAACUCCGAAUGCCGAUGACUUAUCCUUGGGAGUCAGACUGCGAGUGAUAAGAUCCGUAGUCGAAAGGGAAACAGCCCAGACCGCCAGCUAAGGUCCCAAAGUAUACGUUAAGUGGAAAAGGAUGUGGAGUUGCUUAGACAACCAGGAUGUUGGCUUAGAAGCAGCCACCAUUUAAAGAGUGCGUAAUAGCUCACUGGUCGAGUGACUCUGCGCCGAAAAUGUACCGGGGCUAAACGUAUCACCGAAGCUGCGGACUGUUCUUCGAACAGUGGUAGGAGAGCGUUCUAAGGGCUGUGAAGCAAGACCGGAAGGACUUGUGGAGCGCUUAGAAGUGAGAAUGCCGGUAUGAGUAGCGAAAGAGGGGUGAGAAUCCCCUCCACCGAAUGCCUAAGGUUUCCUGAGGAAGGCUCGUCCGCUCAGGGUUAGUCGGGACCUAAGCCGAGGCCGAAAGGCGUAGGCGAUGGAUAACAGGUUGAUAUUCCUGUACCACCUCCUCACCAUUUGAGCAAUGGGGGGACGCAGGAGGAUAGGGUAAGCGCGGUAUUGGAUAUCCGCGUCCAAGCAGUUAGGCUGGGAAAUAGGCAAAUCCGUUUCCUGUGAAGGCUGAGCUGUGAUGGCGAGCGAAUUAUAGUAGCGAAGUUCCUGAUUCCACACUGCCAAGAAAAGCCUCUAGCGAGGUGAGAGGUGCCCGUACCGCAAACCGACACAGGUAGGCGAGGAGAGAAUCCUAAGGUGAUCGAGAGAACUCUCGUUAAGGAACUCGGCAAAAUGACCCCGUAACUUCGGGAGAAGGGGUGCUCUGUUAGGGUGCAAGCCCGAGAGAGCCGCAGUGAAUAGGCCCAGGCGACUGUUUAGCAAAAACACAGGUCUCUGCGAAGCCGUAAGGCGAAGUAUAGGGGCUGACGCCUGCCCGGUGCUGGAAGGUUAAGAGGAGCGCUUAGCGUAAGCGAAGGUGCGAAUUGAAGCCCCAGUAAACGGCGGCCGUAACUAUAACGGUCCUAAGGUAGCGAAAUUCCUUGUCGGGUAAGUUCCGACCCGCACGAAAGGCGCAACGAUCUGGGCACUGUCUCAACGAGAGACUCGGUGAAAUUAUAGUACCUGUGAAGAUGCAGGUUACCCGCGACAGGACGGAAAGACCCCGUGGAGCUUUACUGCAGCCUGAUAUUGAAUGUUGGUACAGCUUGUACAGGAUAGGUAGGAGCCUUGGAAACCGGAGCGCCAGCUUCGGUGGAGGCAUCGGUGGGAUACUACCCUGGCUGUAUUGACCUUCUAACCCGCCGCCCUUAUCGGGCGGGGAGACAGUGUCAGGUGGGCAGUUUGACUGGGGCGGUCGCCUCCUAAAAGGUAACGGAGGCGCCCAAAGGUUCCCUCAGAAUGGUUGGAAAUCAUUCGCAGAGUGUAAAGGCACAAGGGAGCUUGACUGCGAGACCUACAAGUCGAGCAGGGACGAAAGUCGGGCUUAGUGAUCCGGUGGUUCCGCAUGGAAGGGCCAUCGCUCAACGGAUAAAAGCUACCCCGGGGAUAACAGGCUUAUCUCCCCCAAGAGUCCACAUCGACGGGGAGGUUUGGCACCUCGAUGUCGGCUCAUCGCAUCCUGGGGCUGUAGUCGGUCCCAAGGGUUGGGCUGUUCGCCCAUUAAAGCGGUACGCGAGCUGGGUUCAGAACGUCGUGAGACAGUUCGGUCCCUAUCCGUCGCGGGCGCAGGAAAUUUGAGAGGAGCUGUCCUUAGUACGAGAGGACCGGGAUGGACGCACCGCUGGUGUACCAGUUGUUCUGCCAAGGGCAUCGCUGGGUAGCUAUGUGCGGACGGGAUAAGUGCUGAAAGCAUCUAAGCAUGAAGCCCCCCUCAAGAUGAGAUUUCCCAUUCCGCAAGGAAGUAAGAUCCCUGAAAGAUGAUCAGGUUGAUAGGUCUGAGGUGGAAGUGUGGCGACACAUGGAGCUGACAGAUACUAAUCGAUCGAGGACUUAACCAA
RNAcentral lists this ribosomal RNA (2932 nucleotides) under Bacillus velezensis. RNAcentral describes it as "23S ribosomal RNA". It matches the Rfam family "Bacterial large subunit ribosomal RNA". The record is from RNAcentral. Lineage: Bacteria; Bacillati; Bacillota; Bacilli; Caryophanales; Bacillaceae.